CCAGUGAUAUCAUCAAGACUAAUGAUCAAUGGUCAAAUCCAAUACUUUUCAUAGAGAAGCAUUGUGGACAUAUUGUGCAUGUGUAGCAAUUGCUUUGAUCUGCCAGUCCAUUGACUGUCUAUGAAAAAGCAUGAGAAUCAUCAGCCAUGCUCAGGGGAUAUAAGAUGAACUCGUGGCAUGAGAAAGGCGUGUAAGAGACGAAACUUUGCCAUUUUGAUCCUGAUUAAAAUGAGCAAUUUCUUCUAUUAUCUUAAUUUGUAUCCCAUCUAGUUUGUUAGGCAAUACAAGAUUUAUCCUUGAG
Pelobates cultripes (western spadefoot toad) is the source of this 301-nucleotide non-coding RNA. Lineage: Eukaryota; Metazoa; Chordata; Amphibia; Anura; Pelobatidae. The record is from the annotation of a GenBank genome assembly.